GAGUACUUAGCUUAGUCGCAGAGCAUUAUGUUGACAACGUAAGGGUCAUUGGUUCAAUUCCAAUAGUACUCA
This 72-nucleotide transfer RNA is filed under the name Seculamonas ecuadoriensis. RNAcentral's name for it is "tRNA-Val". It matches the Rfam family "tRNA". From Rfam's summary of the family: Transfer RNA (tRNA) molecules are approximately 80 nucleotides in length. Their secondary structure includes four short double-helical elements and three loops (D, anti-codon, and T loops). Further hydrogen bonds mediate the characteristic L-shaped molecular structure. tRNAs have two regions of fundamental functional importance: the anti-codon, which is responsible for specific mRNA codon recognition, and the 3' end, to which the tRNAs corresponding amino acid is attached (by aminoacyl-tRNA synthetases). tRNAs cope with the degeneracy of the genetic code in two manners: having more than one tRNA (with a specific anti-codon) for a particular amino acid; and 'wobble' base-pairing, i.e. permitting non-standard base-pairing at the 3rd anti-codon position. Lineage: Eukaryota; Jakobea; Jakobida; Moramonadidae. The record is from RNAcentral.